CCGGCGAUGUCCGAAUGGGGAAACCCAGUGCAAUUCGUUGCACUAUCGUUAACUGAAUACAUAGGUUAACGAGGCGAACCGGGGGAACUGAAACAUCUAAGUACCCCGAGGAAAAGAAAUCAACCGAGAUUCCCCCAGUAGCGGCGAGCGAACGGGGAGCAGCCCAGAGUCUGAAUCAGCUUGUGUGUUAGUGGAACGGUCUGGAAAGUCCGACGGUACAGGGUGAUAGUCCCGUACACCAAAAUGCACAGGUUGUGAACUCGAAGAGUAGGGCGGGACACGUGGUAUCCUGUCUGAAUAUGGGGGGACCAUCCUCCAAGGCUAAAUACUCCUGACUGACCGAUAGUGAACCAGUACCGUGAGGGAAAGGCGAAAAGAACCCCGGCGAGGGGAGUGAAAAAGAACCUGAAACCGUGUACGUACAAGCAGUGGGAGCACCUUCGGGUGUGACUGCGUACCUUUUGUAUAAUGGGUCAGCGACUUAUAUUCUGUAGCAAGGUUAACCGUAUAGGGGAGCCGCAGGGAAACCGAGUCUUAACUGGGCGUUAAGUUGCAGGGUAUAGACCCGAAACCCGGUGAUCUAGCCAUGGGCAGGUUGAAGGUUGGGUAACACUAACUGGAGGACCGAACCGACUAAUGUUGAAAAAUUAGCGGAUGACUUGUGGCUGGGGGUGAAAGGCCAAUCAAACCGGGAGAUAGCUGGUUCUCCCCGAAAGCUAUUUAGGUAGCGCCUCGUGAACUCAUCUUCGGGGGUAGAGCACUGUUUCGGCUAGGGGGUCAUCCCGACUUACCAACCCGAUGCAAACUACGAAUACCGAAGAAUGUUAUCACGGGAGACACACGGCGGGUGCUAACGUCCGUCGUGAAGAGGGAAACAACCCAGACCGCCAGCUAAGGUCCCAAAGUCAUGGUUAAGUGGGAAACGAUGUGGGAAGGCACAGACAGCCAGGAUGUUGGCUUAGAAGCAGCCAUCAUUUAAAGAAAGCGUAAUAGCUCACUGGUCGAGUCGGCCUGCGCGGAAGAUGUAACGGGGCUAAACCAUGCACCGAAGCUGCGGCAGCGACACUAUGUGUUGUUGGGUAGGGGAGCGUUCUGUAAGCCUGCGAAGGUGACCUGUGAGGGUUGCUGGAGGUAUCAGAAGUGCGAAUGCUGACAUAAGUAACGAUAAAGCGGGUGAAAAGCCCGCUCGCCGGAAGACCAAGGGUUCCUGUCCAACGUUAAUCGGGGCAGGGUGAGUCGACCCCUAAGGCGAGGCCGAAAGGCGUAGUCGAUGGGAAACAGGUUAAUAUUCCUGUACUUGGUGUUACUGCGAAGGGGGGACGGAGAAGGCUAUGUUAGCCGGGCGACGGUUGUCCCGGUUUAAGCAUGUAGGCUGGUUAUCCAGGCAAAUCCGGAUAAUCAAGGCUGAGGUGUGAUGACGAGGCACUACGGUGCUGAAGUAACAAAUGCCCUGCUUCCAGGAAAAGCCUCUAAGCAUCAGGUAACAUCAAAUCGUACCCCAAACCGACACAGGUGGUCAGGUAGAGAAUACCAAGGCGCUUGAGAGAACUCGGGUGAAGGAACUAGGCAAAAUGGUGCCGUAACUUCGGGAGAAGGCACGCUGGUGUGUAGGUGAAGCCCCUGCGGGUGGAGCUGAGACCAGUCGAAGAUACCAGCUGGCUGCAACUGUUUAUUAAAAACACAGCACUGUGCAAACACGAAAGUGGACGUAUACGGUGUGACGCCUGCCCGGUGCCGGAAGGUUAAUUGAUGGGGUUAUCCGUAAGGAGAAGCUCUUGAUCGAAGCCCCGGUAAACGGCGGCCGUAACUAUAACGGUCCUAAGGUAGCGAAAUUCCUUGUCGGGUAAGUUCCGACCUGCACGAAUGGCGUAAUGAUGGCCAGGCUGUCUCCACCCGAGACUCAGUGAAAUUGAACUCGCUGUGAAGAUGCAGUGUACCCGCGGCAAGACGGAAAGACCCCGUGAACCUUUACUAUAGCUUGACACUGAACAUUGAGCCUUGAUGUGUAGGAUAGGUGGGAGGCUUUGAAGCGUGGACGCCAGUCUGCGUGGAGCCAACCUUGAAAUACCACCCUUUAAUGUUUGAUGUUCUAACGUUGGCCCCUGACCGGGGUUGCGGACAGUGUCUGGUGGGUAGUUUGACUGGGGCGGUCUCCUCCCAAAGCGUAACGGAGGAGCACGAAGGUUAGCUAAUCCUGGUCGGACAUCAGGAGGUUAGUGCAAUGGCAUAAGCUAGCUUGACUGCGAGCGUGACGGCGCGAGCAGGUGCGAAAGCAGGUCAUAGUGAUCCGGUGGUUCUGAAUGGAAGGGCCAUCGCUCAACGGAUAAAAGGUACUCCGGGGAUAACAGGCUGAUACCGCCCAAGAGUUCAUAUCGACGGCGGUGUUUGGCACCUCGAUGUCGGCUCAUCACAUCCUGGGGCUGAAGUAGGUCCCAAGGGUAUGGCUGUUCGCCAUUUAAAGUGGUACGCGAGCUGGGUUUAGAACGUCGUGAGACAGUUCGGUCCCUAUCUGCCGUGGGCGCUGGAGAAUUGAGGGGGGCUGCUCCUAGUACGAGAGGACCGGAGUGGACGCAUCACUGGUGUUCGGGUUGUCAUGCCAAUGGCACUGCCCGGUAGCUAAAUGCGGAAGAGAUAAGUGCUGAAAGCAUCUAAGCACGAAACUUGCCCCGAGAUGAGUUCUCCCUGAGACUUUAAGUCUCCUGAAGGAACGUUAAAGACGAUGACGUUGAUAGGCCGGGUGUGUAAGCGCAGCGAUGCGUUGAGCUAACCGGUACUAAUGAACCGUGAGGCUUAACCUU
Molecule: ribosomal RNA, 2798 nt
Filed under: Klebsiella pneumoniae
Lineage: Bacteria; Pseudomonadati; Pseudomonadota; Gammaproteobacteria; Enterobacterales; Enterobacteriaceae
Description: bacterial LSU rRNA
Rfam family: Bacterial large subunit ribosomal RNA
Source: RNAcentral